AACUAUGGAUGAUGAGAUUAUCAAUUUAACAGUUAUCCCUGGCUGAUGUUUCAGGUGCUGAUAAUUUGUAUUCUGACAUAUUU
Lathyrus oleraceus (garden pea) is the source of this 83-nucleotide small nucleolar RNA. RefSeq annotates it as small nucleolar RNA R38. The record is from RefSeq and is a predicted model, not a curated record. Lineage: Eukaryota; Viridiplantae; Streptophyta; Magnoliopsida; Fabales; Fabaceae. The transcript has a single exon.